GCUUCAGGCCUAACACAUGCAAGUCGAGCGAGAAAGCCCGCAAGGGUGAGUACAGCGGCGCACGGGUGCGUAACACGUGAGUAAUCUGCCCUGGAGCCCGGAAUAACUCCCCGAAAGGGGUGCUAAUGCCGGAUGAGCCCACGGGGUCUUCGGACCUUGAGGGAAAAGGUGGCCUCUGUAUACAAGCUAUCACUUCAGGAUGAGCUCGCGGCCCAUCAGCUAGUUGGCGGGGUAAUGGCCCACCAAGGCUACGACGGGUAGCUGGUCUGAGAGGACGAUCAGCCACACUGGAACUGAGACACGGUCCAGACUCCUACGGGAGGCAGCAGUGGGGAAUCUUGCGCAAUGGGCGAAAGCCUGACGCAGCAACGCCGCGUGUGUGAUGAAGGUCUUCGGAUCGUAAAGCACUGUCGCGAGGGACGAAUAAGGGUCGGGUGAACAAUCCGGUCCGAUGACGGUACCUCGAGAGGAAGCACCGGCUAACUCUGUGCCAGCAGCCGCGGUAAUACAGAGGGUGCAAGCGUUGUUCGGAAUUAUUGGGCGUAAAGCGCGUGUAGGCGGCCAUGCAAGUUGGGUGUGAAAGCCCUCGGCUUAACCGAGGAAGUGCGCCCAAAACUACAAGGCUUGAGU
This 630-nucleotide ribosomal RNA is filed under the name uncultured bacterium. RNAcentral's name for it is "bacterial SSU rRNA". It matches the Rfam family "Bacterial small subunit ribosomal RNA", at positions 39 to 647 of the family's 1533-position model. The record is from RNAcentral.